GAAGAGCCGAUGAGUUUUGCGAGGCCAAAGUCGGCGACGUAAGGCUCGUAUCUGGAAUCCAGCAAGAUGUUGUUCGGCUUGAUAUCCCGGUGGAGGAUCGCUGGCACGCAGUCGUGGUGGAGGUAUGAAAGUCCUUGCGCUGCUCCUAGAGCGAUCUUGUAUCUGAUCUCCCAGUUGUUUGCCGUCUUCUUUUCUUGCAGGAAGUCCGCGAGGCUACCGUUCGGCAUGUAGUCAUACAUGAGCAGCUCGAUCGUCUUGUUGGUGCAGUAGCCCAAGAGCCUGACGAUGUUCCGGUGGCGGAUCUUUCCCAGGGUGUUGAUCUCC
This 324-nucleotide long non-coding RNA is filed under the name Selaginella moellendorffii. Its description in RNAcentral is "long non-coding RNA (SMOE_LNC000565)". Lineage: Eukaryota; Viridiplantae; Streptophyta; Lycopodiopsida; Selaginellales; Selaginellaceae. The record is from RNAcentral.